RNAcentral lists this ribosomal RNA (253 nucleotides) under uncultured bacterium. RNAcentral describes it as "partial 16S ribosomal RNA". It matches the Rfam family "Bacterial small subunit ribosomal RNA", at positions 524 to 776 of the family's 1533-position model. The record is from RNAcentral.
UACGUAGGGGGCAAGCGUUGUCCGGAAUCAUUGGGCGUAAAGCGCGUGUAGGCGGCCAGAUAAGUCCGUUCUGAGAGCCCGGGGCUCAACCCCGGGAGGCGGAUGGAUACUGUUUGGCUCGAGUCCGGAAGAGGCGAGUGGAAUUCCCGGUGUAGCGGUGAAAUGCGCAGAUAUCGUAAGGAAGACCAGUGGCGAAGGCGGGUCUCUGGACAGUUCCUGACGCUGAGGCACGAAGGUCAGGGGAGCAAACGGG